Long non-coding RNA from Coregonus clupeaformis (lake whitefish), 317 nucleotides. RefSeq lists it as uncharacterized. Lineage: Eukaryota; Metazoa; Chordata; Actinopteri; Salmoniformes; Salmonidae. The record is from RefSeq and is a predicted model, not a curated record. The transcript is spliced from 3 exons.
UUCAGAUCAGGCUUACCUCCUUAGUGCCGUCAGGUUUGGUGAUUGUUACAGUACACUUCCCAUCGGCCCUGGCAGUGACCAGACCCUUAAGGCUUACGGAGGUAUAUGGCAGCCUUGCCGUAGAUUUGCAUCUCAGCGUCCGUACUCAUGGUGACGGAUCACUAGCAAACAGAUGAAACAAGAAACAUGAUUGACUCUGUGGUGCUUCCUCCCCAGUCAACAGAGUUAGAUGAAUGUGUACUUCUUGGAGGACCCUGUGAAACAUAAGGUGUUGUGAAAACGCACAAGUCUAAAGCAGUUGAGGCUGCUGAGGGAGG